RNAcentral lists this ribosomal RNA (495 nucleotides) under uncultured bacterium. RNAcentral describes it as "partial 16S ribosomal RNA". It matches the Rfam family "Bacterial small subunit ribosomal RNA", at positions 28 to 507 of the family's 1533-position model. The record is from RNAcentral.
GACGAACGCUGGCGGCGUGCCUAAUACAUGCAAGUAGAACGCUGAAGGAGGAGCUUGCUUCUCUGGAUGAGUUGCGAACGGGUGAGUAACGCGUAGGUAACCUGCCUGGUAGCGGGGGAUAACUAUUGGAAACGAUAGCUAAUACCGCAUAAUAGCAGUUGUUGCAUGACAACUGUUUGAAAUGUGCAAUUGCACCACUACCAGAUGGACCUGCGUUGUAUUAGCUAGUUGGUGGGGUAACGGCUCACCAAGGCGACGAUACAUAGCCGACCUGAGAGGGUGAUCGGCCACACUGGGACUGAGACACGGCCCAGACUCCUACGGGAGGCAGCAGUAGGGAAUCUUCGGCAAUGGACGGAAGUCUGACCGAGCAACGCCGCGUGAGUGAAGAAGGUUUUCGGAUCGUAAAGCUCUGUUGUAAGAGAAGAACGAGUGUGAGAGUGGAAAGUUCACACUGUGACGGUAUCUUACCAGAAAGGGACGGCUAACUACGUG